GAGGGUAUAGCUCCAUGGUGGAGUGCAUGCUUAGUAUGCAAGAGUUCCUGGGUUCAAUCCCCAGUGCCUCCA
This 72-nucleotide transfer RNA is filed under the name Camelus bactrianus (Bactrian camel). It matches the Rfam family "tRNA". From Rfam's summary of the family: Transfer RNA (tRNA) molecules are approximately 80 nucleotides in length. RNAcentral also lists the same sequence under 2 other names. Lineage: Eukaryota; Metazoa; Chordata; Mammalia; Artiodactyla; Camelidae. The record is from Rfam by way of RNAcentral.